This is a long non-coding RNA of Corticium candelabrum, 899 nucleotides long. RefSeq lists it as uncharacterized. The transcript has 3 exons. The record is from RefSeq and is a predicted model, not a curated record. Lineage: Eukaryota; Metazoa; Porifera; Homoscleromorpha; Homosclerophorida; Plakinidae.
GCAGGUUUGAUCUUCUGCACCUUUCUCGCUGGAAUCAUUUUGAGGAUCUCUUCGGAUGAUAAAGACCGGAUGUACUCCCACGCUUCAGUUUCACGUGAAGGAGAAGCAGAAGACUUAGAAGUUUCUGGUAACACACCACAGGUUAGAGGCGUCUCAAAAGUAGAUUCAAAACCAACGGUCGAGCAGGAGAGUUUCUUGCAUUGUGACAAAUGUUGCCCAAGUUUUGCAAACCACUUUGAGCAAUGGUGACAUUUCAAAAGGUUCAAACGAGAGACAAAAAAUCCGGGAUGUCGUUAGCAUCGUGAGAUUGUCUGAUAUGACAAAGAACUCUCUGAAUCUGGUCUUUGAAGGCACAGGAAACAACUGGACGACUUUCAAAGUCAGACUUAUGAUCAGACAUAACCAAACAUCGGUUAAAAGAAAUACGGAUGAAACCAAAGACCACGUUCAAAAACCAGGCAUGUUCAAGCCACAUCCGGGGUACAUCAUUUUUCUUGUUGACCUGAGAGAGUCAUGCUGUGUGACAGUUUUGUGGCAGAAAACGUGAGACAAUAGCACACAGUGCAUAUAGGUAACCUAUAUGGUAUUUGUCAGCAGACUAUGAUGCUAGAAUAAUGUGCUGUUACUAACUGCAUGCAUACAAAUGGUCACAAUACAAAGCGGGUAUACAUUUAAAGUGCACUGUCAUAGUGUGUAACAGAUGGAGUGCAUGUGUCCAGACUGGUUUUGCCUCGGCUGCUUUCUUGGAUGGCAGUGUGUCCUGUUUCUUGCACGGGUGGGUUGGCUACUUGUAUUGGCUCUCUUGUUUCUUGCUCUGUCUCUUGUAUUGGUUGCUGUGGUGAUUUUUGCCUUGGUUGACAACAAUCUUGACUCUGUCUACACUUCCGUACAAUUACUGU